GAUGAACGCUGGCGGCGUGCCUAAUACAUGCAAGUCGAGCGAACAGAUGAGGAGCUUGCUCCUCUGACGUUAGCGGCGGACGGGUGAGUAACACGUGGAUAACCUACCUAUAAGACUGGGAUAACUUCGGGAAACCGGAGCUAAUACCGGAUAAUAUAUUGAACCGCAUGGUUCAAUAGUGAAAGACGGUUUUGCUGUCACUUAUAGAUGGAUCCGCGCCGCAUUAGCUAGUUGGUAAGGUAACGGCUUACCAAGGCAACGAUGCGUAGCCGACCUGAGAGGGGGUCGGCCAACACGGAACCUAGGCAACGGCCCAAACUCUACGGGGAGGAAGAGGUGGGAAUCCUCCGGAAUGGGGCGAAGGCCGACGGGGGAAAGGCGGCGGGAGGGAGGAGGGCUUCCGGAUCGUAAAACUCGGUAAUAAGGAAAGAAAAAAUGGGUAGGAAACAAGGAACGUUUGGAGGGAACCUAAUCAGAAAGCACCGGCUAAUUACGU
This 496-nucleotide ribosomal RNA is filed under the name uncultured bacterium. RNAcentral's name for it is "partial 16S ribosomal RNA". It matches the Rfam family "Bacterial small subunit ribosomal RNA", at positions 28 to 506 of the family's 1533-position model. The record is from RNAcentral.